This 331-nucleotide unclassified non-coding RNA is filed under the name soil metagenome. RNAcentral describes it as "partial contains 5.8S ribosomal RNA, internal transcribed spacer 2, and large subunit ribosomal RNA". The stretch from base 1 to 120 matches the Rfam family "5.8S ribosomal RNA", at positions 35 to 154 of the family's 154-position model. The record is from RNAcentral.
GAUGAAGAACGUAGCGAAAUGCGAUAAGUAAUGCGAAUUGCAGAAUUCAGUGAGUCAUCGAAUCUUUGAACGCACAUUGCGCCCCCUGGUAUUCCGGGGGGCAUGCCUGUUCGAGCGUCAUUUCACCACUCAAGCCUCGCUUGGUAUUGGGCAACGCGGUCCGCCGCGUGCCUCAAAUCGACCGGCUGGGUCUUCUGUCCCCUAAGCGUUGUGGAAACUAUUCGCUAAAGGGUGCUCGGGAGGCUACGCCGUAAAACAAACCCAUUUCUAAGGUUGACCUCGGAUCAGGUAGGGAUACCCGCUGAACUUAAGCAUAUCAAUAAGCGGAGGA